This 706-nucleotide ribosomal RNA is filed under the name uncultured Pseudomonadota bacterium. Its description in RNAcentral is "bacterial SSU rRNA". It matches the Rfam family "Bacterial small subunit ribosomal RNA", at positions 68 to 769 of the family's 1533-position model. Lineage: Bacteria; Pseudomonadati; Pseudomonadota. The record is from RNAcentral.
GGCAGCGCGGGCUUCGGCCUGGCGGCGAGUGGCGGACGGGUGAGUAAUGCUUGGGAAUCUGCCUAGUAGUGGGGGAUAACCCGGGGAAACCCGGGCUAAUACCGCAUACGUCCUACGGGAGAAAGCGGGGGAUCGUAAGACCUCGCGCUAUUAGAUGAGCCCAAGUCGGAUUAGCUAGUUGGUAGGGUAAUGGCCUACCAAGGCGACGAUCCGUAGCUGGUCUGAGAGGACGAUCAGCCACACCGGAACUGAGACACGGUCCGGACUCCUACGGGAGGCAGCAGUGGGGAAUAUUGGACAAUGGGCGCAAGCCUGAUCCAGCAAUGCCGCGUGUGUGAAGAAGGCCUGCGGGUUGUAAAGCACUUUCAGCAGGGAAGAACAGCGUGGGGCUAAUAUCCCCGCGUCCUGACGUAACCUGAAGAAGAAGCACCGGCUAACUCCGUGCCAGCAGCCGCGGUAAUACGGAGGGUGCGAGCGUUAAUCGGAAUUACUGGGCGUAAAGCGUACGUAGGUGGCUUGAUAAGUCGAAUGUGAAAGCCCUGGGCUUAACCUGGGAACUGCAUCCGAAACUGUCUGGCUAGAGUAAGGGAGAGGGAAGCGGAAUUUCCGGUGUAGCGGUGAAAUGCGUAGAUAUCGGAAGGAACACCAGUGGCGAAGGCGGCUUCCUGGCCCAUUACUGACACUGAGGUACGAAAGCGUGGGGAGC